ACGGGUGCGGAACACGUGUGCACUAGCUUUAUCUGGGGGAUAGCCUUUCGAAAGGAAGAUUAAUACCCCAUAAUAUGUUGAAUGGCAUCAUUCGACAUUGAAAACUCCGGUGGAUAGAGAUGGGCACGCGCAAGAUUAGAUAGUUGGUGAGGUAACGGCUCACCAAGUCUACGAUCUUUAGGGGGCCUGAGAGGGUGAUCCCCCAACUGGUACUGAGACACGGCCAGACUCCUACGGGAGGCAGCAGUGGGGAAUCUUGCGCAAUGGCCGAAAGGCUGACGCAGCGACGCCGCGUGUGGGAUGAAGGUCUUCGGAUUGUAAACCACUGUCGGGGGGGACGAAAUCUUGACGGUACCCCCAAAGGAAGCACCGGCUAACUCUGUGCCAGCAGCCGCGGUAAUACAGAGGGUGCGAGCGUUGUCCGGAAUCACUGGGCGUCAAAGGGCCGCGUAGGCCGGCCUGGUAAGUCGGGGGUGAACGCUGCGGGUUCNAACCGGAAGGCACUGGCCUUCCGAGACUGGCCAGGCUUGGAGCCACGGGGAACAAGGCUGGGUAGGAAUUCCCCGGGGGUAAACGGGUGGAACCGCGUCAAAAGCAUCG
This 600-nucleotide ribosomal RNA is filed under the name uncultured bacterium. RNAcentral describes it as "bacterial SSU rRNA". It matches the Rfam family "Bacterial small subunit ribosomal RNA", at positions 102 to 720 of the family's 1533-position model. The record is from RNAcentral.